This 107-nucleotide ribosomal RNA is filed under the name Oryctolagus cuniculus (rabbit). Lineage: Eukaryota; Metazoa; Chordata; Mammalia; Lagomorpha; Leporidae. The record is from RNAcentral.
AUCCAUGGCCAUACCACCCUGAACACACCUGAUCUCAUCUGAUGUCGGAAGCUAAGCAGGGUCUGGCCUGGUUAGUACUUGGAUCAGAGAAUUAAGACACAUGAACC